RNAcentral lists this small nuclear RNA (106 nucleotides) under Schistocerca americana (American grasshopper). Lineage: Eukaryota; Metazoa; Arthropoda; Insecta; Orthoptera; Acrididae. The record is from RNAcentral.
UACUGGCUUCGGCGGUACAUCCAUUAAAAUUGGAACGACGCAGGAAAGAUUAGCAUGGCCGCUUGACAAGUAUGACACGCAAAAUCGGGAAGCGUUCCACAUCUUG